Molecule: ribosomal RNA, 436 nt
Filed under: uncultured bacterium
Lineage: Bacteria
Description: bacterial SSU rRNA
Rfam family: Bacterial small subunit ribosomal RNA
Source: RNAcentral
UGAGGAAUAUUGGUCAAUGGCCGGAAGGCUGAACCAGCCAAGUCGCGUGAGGGAAUAAGGCCCUAUGGGUCGUAAACCUCUUUUGUCAGGGAGCAAUGAUGUCCACGUGUGGACUGACGAGAGUACCUGAAGAAAAAUGCAUCGGCUAACUCCGUGCCAGCAGCCGCGGUAAUACGGAGGAUGCGAGCGUUAUCCGGAUUUAUUGGGUUUAAAGGGUGCGCAGGCGGCGCGCCAAGUCAGCGGUAAAAAGUGCGGUGCUCAACGCCGUAUAGCCGUUGAAAGCUGACAUGCUAGAGUGAGCGAGAAGUAUGCGGAAUGCGUGGUGUAGCGGUGAAAUGCAUAGAUAUCACGCAGAACCCCGAUUGCGAAGGCAGCAUACCGGCGCUCAACUGACGCUCAGGCACGAAAGUGCGGGGAUCAAACAGGAUUAGAUACC